RNAcentral lists this ribosomal RNA (449 nucleotides) under uncultured bacterium. Its description in RNAcentral is "bacterial SSU rRNA". It matches the Rfam family "Bacterial small subunit ribosomal RNA", at positions 29 to 521 of the family's 1533-position model. The record is from RNAcentral.
AACGAACGCUGGCGGCAGGCUUAACACAUGCAAGUCGAACGGGCGCAGCAAUGCGUCAGUGGCAGACGGGUGAGUAACACGUGGGAACCUUCCUUAAGGUACGGGACAACUCAGGGAAACUUGAGCUAAUACCGUAUACGUCCGAGAGGAGAAAGAUUUAUCGCCUUUAGACGGGCCCGCGUCGGAUUAGCUAGUUGGUGGGGUAACGGCCUACCAAGGCGACGAUCCGUAGCUGAUCUGAGAGGAUGAUCAGCCACACUGGGACUGAGACACGGCCCAGACUCCUACGGGAGGCAGCAGUGGGGAAUCUUGGACAAUGGGGGAAACCCUGAUCCAGCCAUGCCGCGUGAGUGAAGAAGGCCUUAGGGUUGUAAAGCUCUUUUGCCAGGGACGAUAAUGACGGUACCUGGAGAAUAAGCCCCGGCAAACUUCGUGCCAGCCGCCGCCGU